CCCUUAGAUGUUCUGGGCCGCACGCGCGCUACACUGACAGAGACAACGAGUACAUUUCCUUAGCCGGAAGGCUUGGGUAAUCUUGUUAAACUCUGUCGUGCUGGGGAUAGAGCAUUGCAAUUAUUGCUCUUCAACGAGGAAUGCCUAGUAAGCGCAUGUCAUCAGCAUGCGUUGAUUACGUCCCUGCCCUUUGUACACACCGCCCGUCGCUACUACCGAUUGAAUGGCUCAGUGAGGCCUUCGGACUGGCUUAGGGAGGUUGGCAACGACCACCCCGAGCCGGAAAGUUGGUCAAACUCGGUCAUUUAGAGGAAGUAAAAGUCGUAACA
RNAcentral lists this ribosomal RNA (329 nucleotides) under uncultured eukaryote. RNAcentral's name for it is "partial 18S ribosomal RNA". It matches the Rfam family "Eukaryotic small subunit ribosomal RNA", at positions 1470 to 1796 of the family's 1831-position model. The record is from RNAcentral.